UUUGCCAGCAGCGUGGGAUGUUAUUGUGUGUCAGUUACCAUGACAGUUUAAAUGGUUUAAAACAAAACUUUGCAAGAAAAACAUGAUUGUUAUACCCAGAUCCUGCUUCCAACAAGUCUGAUGCCUGAAUUGCUGAGAGCUGCCAAAGGCAACACCGACCUUGGGAGCUGGAGUGCAGAGGAGGUGCACGGAGGUGGUACGGGCUAGAGGACAGCGCCCCUGUCCCAUCCACAAACCUAACCCAGCUUCCCAUUGCCCACAAGAUACAGGCAGGUCCCUGCAUAAAAGGAGAAAUAAAGCACCAAGGUGACGAAAAGAGGUGAUGCUCACUUGCCUCAUGCAGCAUCUGAGAGCUCAAGAGGAAGAAAACCAUGCAAAGAGGGAGACAGCAGCUAUGGGGAGGGAUUCCAUCUCUACUUAAUCAGCAUCUGGUUUUUGUUUUGGACACAGCUUUGGGAAAUGGAGAAGCCUCACAAGCAGGAUUUGGCACUGGCAGUGCUCAAGUCCCAGGAAACAAGCAGGGACAGGGGAAAAAAAUCAUCCAGAAACAGGAUGGAGAAGGAAGUGACAGGGCAUGGCCAGCACAGAGGGGAAAUUCCAAGGAUUAACUGUGCCUGACCAACCCAACAACCUGCUAUAAGGAGAUGCUUGGCCUGGUGGAUGGGGGAGCACAGUGUAGCUUACUCUGACUUUAAAAGGGCUUUUGACACAACUGUCUGAGUAAUCCACACAGGCACAUCACCUUGAGACAGUUCAGAUGGCUGCAUGGCACCAGGCAGGACACACUCAGGGGGCUGUGAGCUACAGCACAAAGCCCAGCUGGCAGCUCACUACUCACAGCAUUCCUCAGGGGUCAUUAAUGGGGCUAAUAUCCUUCAAUGCCUCUAUUUAGAGCCUGAAGACAGAACACACCCUCAGCAAAGGACACCAGGUUGUGGGCAUGCCUGACACAUGGGGCAGGGCUGUUCAAAGGGACCCCCCUCCUCAACAGGCUGGAGAAAUGGCCCAGCAGAAACCGCGUGAAACUCAAAGGUAAAUGCAAAUUCCUGCUCUUGAGCAACCUCACCUCGGCUGGUCCUGCUCUGAGGCAGGACCACGCAUCCUCAGAGGUGCCUUCCUACCUGAAUUACUCUGCCAUUCAGAGUAAGCCAUGCAGACAGCUUCCUGCCUACAGGGGACUGGCAAGACUUUUCCAGGCACAUUGUAACCUCUUGAAAUCAGCGUAAAGUGCACGGUAAACUC
Molecule: long non-coding RNA, 1242 nt
Organism: Strigops habroptila (Kakapo)
Lineage: Eukaryota; Metazoa; Chordata; Aves; Psittaciformes; Psittacidae
Source: Ensembl